GACGAACGCUGGCGGCGUGCUUAACACAUGCAAGUCAAGGGGGUGUCGUCGCAAGACGGCGCAACCGGCGAACGGGUGCGUAACACGUGAGCAACCUGCCGAGGUGUGGGGGAUAGCCGGCCCAACGGCCGGGUAAUACCGCAUACGUUCUCUGAGGGACAUCCCUUGGGGAAGAAACCGAUGGGGCAACCCAUGGGGCAGCUCGAGGGGCUCGCGGCCUAUCAGCUAGUUGGUGUGGGAACGGCCCACCAAGGCGACGACGGGUAGCUGGUCUGAGAGGAUGGCCAGCCACAUUGGGACUGAGAGACGGCCCAGACUCCUACGGGAGGCAGCAGUGGGGAAUCUUGCGCAAUGGCCGAAAGGAUGACGCAGCGACGCCGCGUGGGGGAGGAAGGCCUU
RNAcentral lists this ribosomal RNA (399 nucleotides) under uncultured bacterium. RNAcentral's name for it is "bacterial SSU rRNA". It matches the Rfam family "Bacterial small subunit ribosomal RNA", at positions 28 to 418 of the family's 1533-position model. The record is from RNAcentral.